RNAcentral lists this transfer RNA (85 nucleotides) under Bacilli bacterium. Its description in RNAcentral is "tRNA-Leu". It matches the Rfam family "tRNA". From Rfam's summary of the family: Transfer RNA (tRNA) molecules are approximately 80 nucleotides in length. Their secondary structure includes four short double-helical elements and three loops (D, anti-codon, and T loops). Lineage: Bacteria; Bacillati; Bacillota; Bacilli. The record is from RNAcentral.
GUGACUAUGGCGGAAUUGGUAGACGCGCUAGUUUCAGACGCUAGUGAGGCAACUCGUGGAAGUUCAAGUCUUCUUAGUCACACCA